RNAcentral lists this ribosomal RNA (597 nucleotides) under uncultured bacterium. RNAcentral describes it as "bacterial SSU rRNA". It matches the Rfam family "Bacterial small subunit ribosomal RNA", at positions 897 to 1494 of the family's 1533-position model. The record is from RNAcentral.
AAACUCAAAGGAAUUGACGGGGGNNNNCACAAGCGGUGGAGCAUGUGGUUUAAUUCGACGCAACGCGAAGAACCUUACCUGGGCUCGAAAUGUACAGGACAGUCGUAGAAAUACGAUCUCCCAGCGAUGGGUCUGUAUAUAGGUGCUGCAUGGCUGUCGUCAGCUCGUGUCGUGAGAUGUUGGGUUAAGUCCCGCAACGAGCGCAACCCUUAUCUCUAGUUGCUACCAUUUAGUUGAGCACUCUAGCGAAACCGCCUCGGAUAACGGGGAGGAAGGUGGGGAUGACGUCAAGUCCUCAUGGCCUUUAUGUCCAGGGCUACACACGUGCUACAAUGGCCGGUACAAACCGCUGCAACCCCGCGAGGGUGAGCUAAUCGGAAAAAGCCGGCCUCAGUUCGGAUUGGAGUCUGCAACUCGACUCCAUGAAGCUGGAAUCGCUAGUAAUCGUGGAUCAGCAUGCCACGGUGAAUACGUUCCCGGGCCUUGUACACACCGCCCGUCACAUCACGAAAGUGGGUUGCACUAGAAGUCGGUGCGCUAACCGCAAGGGAGCAGCCGCCCGAGGUGUAAUUCAUGAUUGGGGUGAAGUCGUAACAA